Molecule: non-coding RNA, 206 nt
Organism: Oryza meridionalis
Lineage: Eukaryota; Viridiplantae; Streptophyta; Magnoliopsida; Poales; Poaceae
Source: Rfam
AAAGACUUAAUUCCUAGGUUUUGAUGUUUAACGUUUGACUAUCCGUUUUAUAUGAAAUUUUUUUAUGAUUAGUAUUUUCUUUAUUGUUAGAUGAUAAAACAUGAAUAAUACUUAACGCAUGACUUGUCUUUUUAAAUUUUUCAUAACAUUUUCAAAUAAGACGAACGGUCAAACGUUAAACACGGAAACUCAGGAAUUGAGUUUUU